GAUGAACGCUGGCGGCGUGCCUAAUACAUGCAAGUCGAGCGAACAGACGAGGAGCUUGCUCCUCUGACGUUAGCGGCGGACGGGUGAGUAACACGUGGAUAACCCACCUAUAAGACUGGGAUAACUUCGGGAAACCGGAGCUAAUACCGGAUAAUAUAUUGAACCGCAUGGUUCAAUAGUGAAAGACGGUUUUGCUGUCACUUAUAGAUGGAUCCGCGCCGCAUUAGCUAGUUGGUAAGGUAACGGCUUACCAAGGCAACGAUGCGUAGCCGACCUGAGAGGGUGAUCGGCCACACUGGAACUGAGACACGGUCCAGACUCCUACGGGAGGCAGCAGUAGGGAAUCUUCCGCAGUGGGCGAAAGCCUGACGGAGCAACGCCGCGUGAGUGAUGAAGGUCUUCGGAUCGUAAAACUCUGUUAUUAGGGAAGAACAAAUGUGUAAGUAACUAUGCACGUCUUGACGGUACCUAAUCAGAAAGCCACGGCUAACUACGU
Molecule: ribosomal RNA, 496 nt
Filed under: uncultured bacterium
Lineage: Bacteria
Description: partial 16S ribosomal RNA
Rfam family: Bacterial small subunit ribosomal RNA
Source: RNAcentral